Molecule: transfer RNA, 77 nt
Filed under: Pelosinus sp. UFO1
Lineage: Bacteria; Bacillati; Bacillota; Negativicutes; Selenomonadales; Sporomusaceae
Also listed under: 1 other name
Description: tRNA-Arg (TCT) (tRNA-Arg-TCT-1-1)
Rfam family: tRNA
About the family: Transfer RNA (tRNA) molecules are approximately 80 nucleotides in length. Their secondary structure includes four short double-helical elements and three loops (D, anti-codon, and T loops).
Source: RNAcentral
GUGCUUGUAGCUCAGCUGGAUAGAGCAACGCCCUUCUAAGGCGUGGGUCGGGCGUUCGAAUCGCUCCAGGCACACCA